Molecule: long non-coding RNA, 196 nt
Organism: Ochotona princeps (American pika)
Lineage: Eukaryota; Metazoa; Chordata; Mammalia; Lagomorpha; Ochotonidae
Exons: 3
Source: RefSeq, a predicted model, not a curated record
AAAGAAGCCUGAAUGACUUGAAGCAAGAAAAUAAAAGGAAAAUGUACCUGAUGGUCGAGGAAAACUGCCAGCCAGACCAAAGGGCUGAUGUGUCACUUGUGGAUGAAGUCUGCAACUAUACAAAAAAAGAAAUCUUGAUCUAUAGAAAGAGAGUUGAAGAUCUUGAACAAGGAUUGGAUAGAACCAUUCGUAAUUC